UACGGAGGGCGCAAGCGUUGUUCGGAAUCACUGGGCGUAAAGCGCGUGUAGGCGGCCGGGCAAGUCGGAUGUGAAAUCCCGAGGCUCAACCUCGGACCUGCACUAGAAACUGCGCAGCUCGAGUCUCGGAGAGGAUGGCGGAAUUCCCGGUGUAGGGGUGAAAUCCGUAGAUAUCGGGAGGAACACCAGCGGCGAAGGCGGCCUGCUGGACGGUUACCGACUCUUAUACGCGCCACCGUGGCGAGCAUACAGC
Molecule: ribosomal RNA, 253 nt
Filed under: uncultured bacterium
Lineage: Bacteria
Description: partial 16S ribosomal RNA
Rfam family: Bacterial small subunit ribosomal RNA
Source: RNAcentral